RNAcentral lists this ribosomal RNA (429 nucleotides) under uncultured bacterium. RNAcentral describes it as "bacterial SSU rRNA". It matches the Rfam family "Bacterial small subunit ribosomal RNA", at positions 29 to 506 of the family's 1533-position model. The record is from RNAcentral.
ACGAACGCUGGCGGCAGGCCUAACACAUGCAAGUCGAACGGAUAGCAAUAUCAGUGGCGGACGGGUGAGUAACGCGUGGGAAUUUUUCCAGAGGUUCGGAAUAACUAAGGGAAACUUUAGCUAAUACCGGAUGAUGCCGAGAGGCCAAAGAUUUAUCGCCUUUGGGUGAGCCCGCGUUGGAUUAGGUAGUUGGUGGGGUAAAGGCCUACCAAGCCUGCGAUCCAUAGCUGGUCUGAGAGGACGAUCAGCCACACUGGGACUGAGACACGGCCCAGACUCCUACGGGAGGCAGCAGUGGGGAAUCUUGCGCAAUGGGCGAAAGCCUGACGCAGCCAUGCCGCGUGAGUGAUGAAGGUCUUAGGAUUGUAAAGCUCUUUCGCUCGCGACGAUGAUGACGGUAGCGAGAGAAGAAGCCCCGGCUAACUUCGU